AGUGAACGCUGGCGGUAGGCCUAACACAUGCAAGUCGAACGGCAGCACAGUAAGAGCUUGCUCUUACGGGUGGCGAGUGGCGGACGGGUGAGGAAUACAUCGGAAUCUACUUUUUCGUGGGGGAUAACGUAGGGAAACUUACGCUAAUACCGCAUACGACCUACGGGUGAAAGCAGGGGAUCUUCGGACCUUGCGCGAUUGAAUGAGCCGAUGUCGGAUUAGCUAGUUGGCGGGGUAAAGGCCCACCAAGGCGACGAUCCGUAGCUGGUCUGAGAGGAUGAUCAGCCACACUGGAACUGAGGCACGGUCCAGACUCCUACGGGAGGCAGCAGUGGGGAAUAUUGGACAAUGGGCGCAAGCCUGAUCCAGCCAUACCGCGUGGGUGAAGAAGGCCUUCGGGUUGUAAAGCCCUUUUGUUGGGGAAGAAAAGCAGCAGGUUAAUACCCCGCUGUUCUGACGGUACCCAAAGAAUAAGCACCGGCUAACUUCGU
RNAcentral lists this ribosomal RNA (491 nucleotides) under uncultured bacterium. RNAcentral describes it as "partial 16S ribosomal RNA". It matches the Rfam family "Bacterial small subunit ribosomal RNA", at positions 29 to 506 of the family's 1533-position model. The record is from RNAcentral.